This 516-nucleotide ribosomal RNA is filed under the name Aspergillus flavus. Its description in RNAcentral is "eukaryotic LSU rRNA". The stretch from base 171 to 324 matches the Rfam family "5.8S ribosomal RNA". The record is from RNAcentral. Lineage: Eukaryota; Fungi; Ascomycota; Eurotiomycetes; Eurotiales; Aspergillaceae.
UUCCUAGCGAGCCCAACCUCCCACCCGUGUUUACUGUACCUUAGUUGCUUCGGCGGGCCCGCCAUUCGUGGCCGCCGGGGGCUCUCAGCCCCGGGCCCGCGCCCGCCGGAGACACCACGAACUCUGUCUGAUCUAGUGAAGUCUGAGUUGAUUGUAUCGCAAUCAGUUAAAACUUUCAACAAUGGAUCUCUUGGUUCCGGCAUCGAUGAAGAACGCAGCGAAAUGCGAUAACUAGUGUGAAUUGCAGAAUUCCGUGAAUCAUCGAGUCUUUGAACGCACAUUGCGCCCCCUGGUAUUCCGGGGGGCAUGCCUGUCCGAGCGUCAUUGCUGCCCAUCAAGCACGGCUUGUGUGUUGGGUCGUCGUCCCCUCUCCGGGGGGGACGGGCCCCAAAGGCAGCGGCGGCACCGCGUCCGAUCCUCGAGCGUAUGGGGCUUUGUCACCCGCUCUGUAGGCCCGGCCGGCGCUUGCCGAACGCAAAUCAAUCUUUUUCCAGGUUGACCUCGGAUCAGGUAGGG